CACUGACAUUAGAUACCCGUGUAGUCCCAGCCGUAAACUAUGCGCGUUAGGUGUAUCGGUGACCACGAGUCACCGAGGUGCCGAAGGGAAACCGUGAAACGUGCCGCCUGGGAAGUACGGUCGCAAGGCUGAAACUUAAAGGAAUUGGCGGGGAGCACCACAACGGGUGGAGCCUGCGGUUUAAUUGGACUCAACGCCGGGAAGCUCACCGGAUAGGACAGCAGAAUGAUUGCCGGGCUGAAGACCCUGCAUGACUAGCUG
Molecule: ribosomal RNA, 261 nt
Filed under: uncultured archaeon
Lineage: Archaea
Description: partial 16S ribosomal RNA
Rfam family: Archaeal small subunit ribosomal RNA
Source: RNAcentral